ACAAAGGACCUUAGUAGCGUAUGAAAAUUACGAGUUUGUCGGAUAUAUAGAAAACAAUGAGCUUGGCGCUCCUGUUCCGCUCACUCCCCCAACACUCCUACCACCGCACCCUCCUUGCCAUUUCAACAACAGCCCAUCUCCGCCACCACAUGGCCACCGCAACCACAACCACAACCACCACCGAGCCAAUCACUCCGGCCAACACUCGACUGGGCUGGAUAGGGACCGGCGUGAUGGGCCGGUCCAUGUGCGCCCACCUCAUCAAAGCCGGCUACACCCUCACUAUCUUCACCCGCACCCAAUCCAAAGCCCAAACCCUCCUCGACAUAGGGGCCAACUGGGCCCCCACCCCUCUCGCCGUCGCCUCCCAAUCCGAUGUGGUCUUCUCCAUCGUUGGCUACCCCUCCGACGUCCGCCAAGUCCACCUCAACCCAUCCUCCGGCGCCCUCGCCGGCCUCCGUCCUGGCGGCGUCCUCGUCGACAUGACCACCUCCGACCCGUCCCUUGCCCUCGAACUCUCGUCCUCCGCCGCUUCCAAAUCCUGCUUCGCCAUCGACGCCCCCGUCUCCGGCGGAGAUCGCGGCGCCAAGAACGCAACUCUUUCGAUCUUUGCCGGCGGCGAUGAACCCACAAUUCGCCGCCUCACCCCAAUCUUUACCCUCCUUGGUAGGGUUAAUUACAUGGGUGGACCUGGAAAGGGCCAAUUCGCGAAGCUCGCGAACCAGAUUACAAUUGCUUCAACGAUGUUGGGGUUAGUGGAAGGUUUAAUAUAUGCACACAAAGCUGGUCUGGAUUUAUCACUAUAUUUGGAUGCGAUUUCGACUGGGGCUGCUGGGUCGAAAUCUCUUGAUUUGUAUGGGAAUAGGAUAUUGAAGAGGGACUUUGAGGCUGGUUUUUUUGUGAAUCACUUUGUGAAAGAUUUAGGUAUUUGUUUGAGGGAGUGUCAGAAUAUGGGACUUGCUUUGCCUGGAUUGGCACUUGCUCAGCAGCUCUAUGUUUCGCUUCAGGCUCAUGGUGAGGGUGAUUUGGGCACUCAAGCUCUUAUCUUGGCUCUCGAGAGACUCAACAAUGUCUCGCUUGAGUCGAAGCAGCAUUAGACCGGUAAUUUCGAACUUUAUGGGGAAAAUAGAAUUAUAUGUAUUGUUCUCAAAGCAGUAUUGAAAACGUUUCAUCAUUUUUAAUGGAAAAAGGGGGACAUGUAUAGCUGUUAGAAGGUAAGAGGGAGAACAAGGAGAAGCUAGGCUCUUCGAUUAUUUUCUGAAGGACUUGGGUUUACCUCUUUCUUUUUGGGCAAAUUUCGUAACAACAGUUUCCUGGAUUGACAUUGGGUUCAGAAGAUUUAUCUCACACUCAAGGUUCAUGUUGGGGAAGUAUUAUAUCCAGUCGCGAAGCAACAUAUUUGAAUCUGACCCUUCCUCACCUCUGCUGUCUUGAACCAUUAAUAAUUUGUCUUUUGAAUUUUCUGUAUGCCAGUUGAGCAAUGAUAAAUAUAUAGAUAUUUGAACAGAUUUCUGCUAUAAUAGUUCAUGAAAAUGGAACAAAAAGCAGUUAUUCCCGAA
Molecule: RNA transcript, 1559 nt
Organism: Cornus florida
Lineage: Eukaryota; Viridiplantae; Streptophyta; Magnoliopsida; Cornales; Cornaceae
Gene name: probable 3-hydroxyisobutyrate dehydrogenase-like 1, mitochondrial
Exons: 2
Source: RefSeq, a predicted model, not a curated record